This 692-nucleotide ribosomal RNA is filed under the name uncultured Bacteroidales bacterium. RNAcentral's name for it is "bacterial SSU rRNA". It matches the Rfam family "Bacterial small subunit ribosomal RNA", at positions 46 to 731 of the family's 1533-position model. The record is from RNAcentral. Lineage: Bacteria; Pseudomonadati; Bacteroidota; Bacteroidia; Bacteroidales.
GCUUAACACAUGCAAGUCGAGGGGCAGCAUUUUUCUAGCAAUAGAAGAGAUGGCGACCGGCGCACGGGUGAGUAACACGUAUCCAACCUGCCGAUAACUCCGGGAUAGCCUUUCGAAAGAAAGAUUAAUACCGGAUGGCAUACGAAUAUCGCAUGAUAUUUUUAUUAAAGAAUUUCGGUUAUCGAUGGGGAUGCGUUCCAUUAGUUUGUUGGCGGGGUAACGGCCCACCAAGACUACGAUGGAUAGGGGUUCUGAGAGGAAGGUCCCCCACAUUGGAACUGAGACACGGUCCAAACUCCUACGGGAGGCAGCAGUGAGGAAUAUUGGUCAAUGGGCGAGAGCCUGAACCAGCCAAGUAGCGUGAAGGAUGAAGGCUCUAUGGGUCGUAAACUUCUUUUAUAUGGGAAUAAAGUUUUCCACGUGUGGAAUUUUGUAUGUACCAUAUGAAUAAGGAUCGGCUAACUCCGUGCCAGCAGCCGCGGUAAUACGGAGGAUCCGAGCGUUAUCCGGAUUUAUUGGGUUUAAAGGGAGCGUAGGUGGAUUGUUAAGUCAGUUGUGAAAGUUUGCGGCUCAACCGUAAAAUUGCAGUUGAAACUGGCAGUCUUGAGUACAGUAGAGGUGGGCGGAAUUCGUGGUGUAGCGGUGAAAUGCUUAGAUAUCACGAAGACUCCGAUUGCGAAGGCAGCUCACUA